CGUUGAUGUAAUCCGAGUUGGGAUCGCCCAGCAGUGGAUGGAGCUUCACACGGUGGCGGUCAUACGUCGACACGUGAUCCUGUCUCCCUUUGGUCUUGUCUUUCUUCUUUGAAGCAUCCCAGCCUUCAAAGAAGCUCUCAUACUCCUGCUUGAAGCCGUAGCCUUCUGCUGUCUUCAUCUGGUUGAUGUGUUGGAGGAGAUCUGCCACGCGCACGGCGGGGUGCAGCUGCCCAGUGUGAUACGGGGACCCUUUGCGGCCACACUGGCGGCGAGGAGAUCCCCCCAGCAGGCUGCUGGACUCAUUGACCACACUGCUGCGCUGGUCACCACGGUUGCUGUAGU
Molecule: long non-coding RNA, 342 nt
Filed under: Gallus gallus (chicken)
Lineage: Eukaryota; Metazoa; Chordata; Aves; Galliformes; Phasianidae
Source: RNAcentral